GGGUGAGCAAGAGGCUAGAGAGUGAGAAGCCAGCCUGGGUUAGUUACACAGCUAGACUCUGUCACAAGCAAGCAAGACUGCCUUGAAGAAGAAAGGAACCAAGGAGGCUGGAGGAAAAGACAGUGCCCACCUUCUCAGGCCAUGGGGUGGAGGGUCAGGUCCCCUUUAUUGGUGGGUGGUACCCCUGUUGCUCACUGCUCAGGACCUGAAGCUGAGGCUGCUCCUCUGUUACCCCUGCUCCCCCAAACUGGAGAAUUUUUAAUGCUGGUUCCACAGAACAAAGAAGUGUUUUUGUUUUGAGAGCUCUCUCUCUCUCUCUCUCUCUCCCUCUCUCUAUACACAUCUGCACAUGUGUGUGUUCAAGCCUGCAUGUGUAUGAAGGGAGUGAGUGCUACGGAGGCCAGUGACACUGUUUCUAGUUUCUUUGUCCUUAAUUCAUCUUCCAAACCCCUCUCUAUUCUCAACUUAAUAAAAACAAACAAACAAACAAACAAAACAAAGCCUGAAGGGGCAGGCAGGAAUCCCAGCUACGCCAGAGAUGGAGCAGAAGGAUCGAAAGUUCAAGGCCAGCCUGAGCUAUCAAAAGAGUUUAAGGCACAUGUGGGCAGCUUGGCCCUGCUUUAAAAUCGUUUGUUUGUUUUGAAGGUGUGGGGCAUCUCUGUUCCAAUGCUUGCCUCCCAUGUGCCAAGCCCCGAGUUCAAUCCGAGCGACUACAGAACAAAGCUGAAGUAGGACCUGGAGCCGGUAGUGUGGCUCACUUGGAAGAAUGCUUGCCCAGCGCCUCGUAAACCAGGCCCACACCUGUGGUCCCAGCACCUGGGAGAUGGAGAUGAGAUCAAGGUCAUUUUCAGCUACAGAUGAUUUUGAGUCCUGAUCCAGCAUGGGCUACCUGAGCUUCUGUGUCAAAGAGAAACAAAGAAACAAAAACUGAGGGCUCUCUUCACUCCUGGCCCCAGUGCUGGUGCUGGCUGAAGGUUCCAAGCGUCCCCACAUCUGUGUCCUCAUGGCACCUACCUGGCUCUGUGAGAUUCAAGCAUUUUUGCCAUUCAGAUGGGAAAGCAGGCACUGAGACAGAAAUGGUUUGGGGUGUCGCCCUCCCUCUAGCAGGUGGUGGAGUAGGGGGUGGGGCUCUUGACUCCCAUGACCUGCUGAGUCUUUGUUUCUGGUCUCUCCUCUCCCCAGUGAAUUUCUCAAACCUGCCAUUCUGCCUCCAGGAGAAUGUAAAAGUGUGGGUCUCACUGGUGACCUCAGAGGACCUGAGAAGGGGGAAGAGAAAGGGAGACAUAAACAGGGCUGUGAAGAGCAGGGCUUUUUCCAGACCUGACCCAGGGUGGGUCUUGUGCCUGCUGUGGUGGCUCUUGUACCCUCUGCUUAGCUUAUUUGGUGAAGGAUCAAUGCAUGUGACCAAACUCUCCAGGUGAGUAGUUCAUGGGACCCCUCAGGGACCUGGCUGAAGUAUUUUUACUGUCAUACCCAUUUCACAGGCAGGGUGGGCUUGCUUGAUGCCAGAAUAGACCCUUCUUAGUCCUGACCUCUAUAGAGGCACUUACCAGGUGUAGGUAGCCUCUGGGAUGCCCCCGACCCCUAGAGCUGGUUCAUGAGUAUGGUGUGUAUGGUGGACCCUCCACCCUGCUCUGGUGUAUCUCCUCAGCCUGAUUUCACAAGUGCCUGCCUUGUGACUGUCCCUCUAGGGACAACUGCAGCUCCUCCUGUACUUCUUUGCUGGGGUCUGCCUUCAGUUCCUAGUUUUCCAACCCUCUCUCCUUAAGGAGGAGGGGAUGAUCGUAUGAAGGGCACUCAUGAGCCAGGCUAUGCUCUGUAGCAGCGACAGUGACCUGACUGGCAGAUUUUCACUCUACAGACAUGUGUUUUCAUUUCAGCCACGUCUAAUGUAGGCCAGACCACUGUCCUCUAGGCCCCAAGAUCCUGCCGUCCAAGGUUUAGUUACAGACCAGCCCCCUUCCUCCCUGCCCCCGCCUCUGUGUGUGUGUGUGUGUGUGUGUGUGUGUGUGUGUGUGUGUGUAGAUGGUAGAGUCCGGAUGGUUUUCUCUUAAGAUUUAUUAUUUACUAUGUGUCUGUGUGAGUGAUUGCCAAAUGUGUUUAGGUGCCUGCAGAGGCCAGAAGAGGGUGUUGGAUCCCCUGAGGUUAUAGGUGUUUGAAUGCUUAGUUGGGUGCUAAGAACUGAACUUGGGUCUUCUGCAAGAGGAGCAAGGAAGUACCCUUUUCCUGAGCCACCUCUCCAGCUGUUUUUUGCCCAUUUGUUUAUAAAUAUAAUGGAUUUUAUUUUUGAGAAUUUUAUGCACAUAUACAAUGUAUUUUUUUUUACCAUAUUCACCCCCACUGGUCUCCCUAACCUCCCCCAUAUUUACCCCACUUCCAACUUUGUGUCUUCUAAAAAAUAAUAAAUCUAAGCCACUGAGUCCAGCUGCACUGUGCACACAUCUAUGGGUACAAUGCUGUCCACUACGGCGUGCUGGACCUCUCAGAAGCC
This 2491-nucleotide long non-coding RNA is filed under the name Mus musculus (house mouse). RNAcentral's name for it is "long non-coding RNA chr2:30480308-30482799". The record is from RNAcentral. Lineage: Eukaryota; Metazoa; Chordata; Mammalia; Rodentia; Muridae.